RNAcentral lists this transfer RNA (64 nucleotides) under Mus musculus (house mouse). It matches the Rfam family "tRNA", at positions 5 to 66 of the family's 71-position model. From Rfam's summary of the family: Transfer RNA (tRNA) molecules are approximately 80 nucleotides in length. Their secondary structure includes four short double-helical elements and three loops (D, anti-codon, and T loops). Further hydrogen bonds mediate the characteristic L-shaped molecular structure. tRNAs have two regions of fundamental functional importance: the anti-codon, which is responsible for specific mRNA codon recognition, and the 3' end, to which the tRNAs corresponding amino acid is attached (by aminoacyl-tRNA synthetases). tRNAs cope with the degeneracy of the genetic code in two manners: having more than one tRNA (with a specific anti-codon) for a particular amino acid; and 'wobble' base-pairing, i.e. permitting non-standard base-pairing at the 3rd anti-codon position. RNAcentral also lists the same sequence under 1 other name. Lineage: Eukaryota; Metazoa; Chordata; Mammalia; Rodentia; Muridae. The record is from Rfam by way of RNAcentral.
AUGUAGCUUAGUUGAUAAAGUGUUUGCUUCAAAUCCACAAAGCCCUGGGUUCAAUUCCCAGCAU